RNAcentral lists this transfer RNA (70 nucleotides) under Caudoviricetes sp. Its description in RNAcentral is "tRNA-Met". It matches the Rfam family "tRNA". From Rfam's summary of the family: Transfer RNA (tRNA) molecules are approximately 80 nucleotides in length. Their secondary structure includes four short double-helical elements and three loops (D, anti-codon, and T loops). Lineage: Duplodnaviria; Heunggongvirae; Uroviricota; Caudoviricetes. The record is from RNAcentral.
GCGGGGUAGAGGAGUGGUUCCUUGCCAGUUUCAUAGGCUGGAGACGCAGGUUCGAAUCCUGCCCACCGCA